GCGCCGAGAAAGGUGAGGGGCCGUCUGCCCGCUGGGGGGAGCCGAGAAAGCAGCCAUGCUUUCCAUCAAUGUCCGGGUCUGCUGUGUGAACAAUGCCUGGGGCGGCAGCCCACCAGGAGGAGCCCCGACCUGGGAGGUGCAGCCUCCAAACAGAAAAGGCCGUCUUUACAGGUCUGCAUUCUGGGGAAUUGAACUGUAUUUCCAGAAAGACGUGUUGACGGCCCCGGACUUGUGAAUCCUUGCAGAUGUGAUCAAGGAACCUCCAUGGUGGUUGUCGAACUGGCCCAGAUCGGAGGGUCCCAAGAUGCCCUCCUUGGAUUCGGUUCAUCUGCUAGUUCAGCUCACAGAGUCGAGGAAGACUUGCUUAACUUCCUGGAUCGCCAGCUUCCUAUAAAGGAUGCAGUCAGGUGAAGGCCCCUGACGGGGAGCGGGCACAGGCUUUCCUGCCCACGAGACGCACGUUCCUCGCCCCCUUGCUCGCCAACCCACCUGCCCCUGUCUGGGGCUUCUGGGUUUUUAUGGAGCCUCGCCUCCCAGGAUGACUGACUCGCUCCUCAGCCUCUGUGAUGGGUUCACCCUCGCCCACUCUUAGCUCAGGUGGUGGGGGCGGGGUGGAAAGUUCCAACCCUCUAAUCACAGAGGGGCUUCUCCCGGCAACCAGCCCCCACCCCUGGGUGGCAUCCAAAAGUUCCCUUGCCCGAUGCGUUGUCCAGAAUUGAGGACAAGAGACAGACCUUAUCCCAUCCCUCAGAAAAUUCCCAGGGCUUGGGAGCCGUGGACGGUGUGGACGGCUGCUCCACAGCCAUGGCCACUCAGCCCGCCUCCCCGGAGCCAGCUGGGUGCUGUGGGAUGGUGGUUUGUUUCUUUUUCCUGCUGGGCGGUGCCCAAGGCUCGUGUGCCAGUGACCUGCUGAAGGGCCUGGCUGCUCCAGUUCACUGCGUUUACUUCUGGUGAGUCAAGCUGCUGAGCCUCUGUGUACAGGUUUCCCGGUGAACAGUUAGCCCUUCUCUCAAACAAACUCCAGGACAGCUUGGUUUUGUAAUCACCGAGAGCACUGGUAUUUAUUUCUUAGAGAAGCAGGAAGUCACUCAAUGAUGGGCUGUCACAAACACAGGCUCCGUGCCAACCGCCCCUGCUGCGUGCAUUGGCCCUGCCGUCCUCUGCUUUCUCUGCCUUACCCCGCGUUGGCCGUCGUGUGGAUGGACCCCUGACCCUGACAAAGGCCGGGGCUGGGGGGGUUGAAUCGGGAGCUGCUUAGAACAGGACCGGACAAACUGAGUGGGAAGGGGGAAACCACGCAGGCUCUGUCUAGUAGAGUCGGCAGAACAGGCAGAAUGCGGCUCGUUCAUCCUUUACACAGCCCUCCCUGUGCCCCCCGACCUCCACCUAUGGAGAGGACCUUGGCUGCGUCCUGCCUGCCUCCCGGCGCUAGGAUGGAUGUCAGGGGGCGGGGGACCCUGACCCCUCAGCUGCUCCCUGUCGCUUACACUGCCUCCACGGGGUGCUCCUCUGACUUUCCUCAGCGUCAUCCCUGCAGAAACUGAGACCCCACAGCCCUGCCUCCCGCGGAGACAGUGGCUACAGCCCCGGAACCAAAUGCAGUCAGACAGAUUUUGCAUGGCCCUGGAGCCAGCAGCAGCUUUUCCGUUUUCUUUUUAUAAAGGGUUGCAAACUUCAGGAGGUCCUGAAGGACAGGGAAGCUUGGCGCGCUGCAGUCUACAGGGUCGCAAAGAGUCGGACACGACUGAGCGACUGAACAAUAAUGAAAUCUCUGGGAGAUGUUUGGAGGGGUGAGCCAAACCACAGGGUGGACAGCAAGAAGUCAAGCUGCCUCCCCCGCUGCCUGGAGAGAUAACCGCUGUUCUGGAAACCAAGCAAACUCAAGCGUAACAACGGACAAACCACACACUUCUGUUUGCAUGGGGUGUGCUCACCCAGCGACGGGGAUGACAAGGUUGGAUUCUCAGAAGCCUGGUACCCGGAGGGUCUGAGCCGAGUUCCGGCAGCUCCACUGACCACGUGGGCGCCUGGUGCGCGGAAAUGCACGUUCAUUAUGAAAAAUGGACGACAUUCUGCGCCAGGCCAGGAUACGGCUCCAGCACAUGAAGAUGCCGGGGUUUCGUGCUCGAGCCGCGGGCGUCGGGGCUAACUCCGUUUUUGCAGCUCCGACAUGAGCACGUGCCUGACCUGUACGACGGUGUCCUCUCAGCAGAGCUGGGGGCAAAGGUCAUGUACAUCUUCUCUGAUCCUGACUAGGUCACGAGCGCACGCUGAAGGGCUCCUGGUUCUAGCACAUCGCUGCUGCUGUGCUGCGUGAAACCCAGAUUAGUCUAAAGGAAAAGGGCGGAAGAGACUCCUUUCACGUGGAUCACGCAGGGCUGGCAGAGGCAGAGAGACACAGGGUUCCGGGCCGAGAGCGCUGCAGGUGUCCCGGUGUCGCUGCCAGAAAGCCGUACAGCCAGAGAACGUUCAGAGACCGUGAAGAGGGUGAAUUUUAUGUAUGUGACCUGGGUCUUGAUGGAAGAUCUAAAACUGAACCGAACUUGAGAAGGUGAUGCGUGUUCGACGUCCAGAUACUGUCCCCCCAGAAAGGCUACAGCGGUCUCCAAAGUGCUCGGAACCCCGGUGCCCGCCCGUUCCCGCCGCAUUCAGCACUGCCGCCCCGCUGCUCAGCGGCUGUGUCUCGCUCUCGGGGGUGGUGGCCCGCCUCUGAUCACUACGGGAGGUUCGUGCUUAUGUUUAUGAGAGGGUCACAGGCAGGAGGGCCUGGGGGGGGGUCUCCAAGCGGAGGAAACAGGCUGCAAGUGUCUCUUCAAAUUCUGUGUUGCUAUGACGACACCUGGUUCCACCUGAACUUAGCUUUUCUCACACCUUGGGCUAACCAAUGCGUUUUGCUUAUGGAAAUAUUUUCCUUAAACUAUGUUAAUGAAACGAUGUGUUUGCUUUGGAAUUUGGCUUUCUUCAAAAUGGCUCCACUUAAGGCUAACUUUUGACUGAUAAUAGCUCAACAAACCAGUAUUCAUAUCGGUUGUUUUGUGGCUGGGGGAUGACACAUUUCCUGUCUCAAAAAUGCACUUUAUGGGAGAGGGGCCUGCCGAAACCCCCUCAGCCUUGAGGCGGCUCUCUGUACCCGAUUAAUAGCUUUCCAACAGACAGAACACAGCUUGCUAAAACUAGCGCGGGGGGCUCGCUGCGUCCCCCUUCUGACGUCUAUGUCAGAAGCUUUCCCAGUCCCUUUUUAUACUUUAAUAAA
Dama dama (fallow deer) is the source of this 3253-nucleotide long non-coding RNA. RefSeq lists it as uncharacterized. NCBI's taxonomy places the organism in Eukaryota, Metazoa, Chordata, Mammalia, Artiodactyla, Cervidae. The record is from RefSeq and is a predicted model, not a curated record. The transcript has 6 exons.